RNAcentral lists this ribosomal RNA (254 nucleotides) under uncultured bacterium. RNAcentral describes it as "partial 16S ribosomal RNA". It matches the Rfam family "Bacterial small subunit ribosomal RNA", at positions 524 to 776 of the family's 1533-position model. The record is from RNAcentral.
UACGUAGGGCGCAAGCGUUAUCCGGAAUUAUUGGGCGUAAAGAGCUCGUAGGCGGUUUGUCGCGUCUGCCGUGAAAGUCCGGGCUCAACUCCGGAUCUGCGGUGGGUACGGGCAGACUAGAGUGAUGUAGGGGAGACUGGAAUUCCUGGUGUAGCGGUGAAAAUGCGCAGAUAUCAGGAGGAACACCGAUGGCGAAGGCAGGUCUCUGGGCAUUAACUGACGCUGAGGAGCGAAAGCAUGGGGGAGCGAACAGG